This 462-nucleotide ribosomal RNA is filed under the name uncultured bacterium. Its description in RNAcentral is "partial 16S ribosomal RNA". It matches the Rfam family "Bacterial small subunit ribosomal RNA", at positions 29 to 507 of the family's 1533-position model. The record is from RNAcentral.
AGUGAACGCUGGCGGCGUGCCUAAUACAUGCAAGUCGAACGGAGAUUAAGUAGCUUGCUAUUUAAUCUUAGUGGCGCACGGGUGAGUAAUAUAUAGCUAACUUGCCCAUUACUAAGGGACAACAGUUGGAAACGACUGCUAAUACCUUAUACUCCGUAUCUAUAUAAGUAGAUACGGGAAAGUUUUUCGGUAAUGGAUAGGGCUAUAUCGUAUCAGCUAGUUGGUAAGGUAAUGGCUUACCAAGGCUAUGACGCGUAACUGGUCUGAGAGGAUGAUCAGUCACACUGGAACUGAGACACGGUCCAGACUCCUACGGGGGGCAGCAGUAGGGAAUAUUGCUCAAUGGGGGAAACCCUGAAGCAGCAACGCCGCGUGGAGGAUGACACUUUUCGGAGCGUAAACUCCUUUUCUUGGGAAAGAAUUAUGACGGUACCCAAGGAAUAAGCACCGGCUAACUCCGUG